This is a long non-coding RNA of Hypanus sabinus (Atlantic stingray), 3218 nucleotides long. RefSeq lists it as uncharacterized. The transcript has 3 exons. The record is from RefSeq and is a predicted model, not a curated record. NCBI's taxonomy places the organism in Eukaryota, Metazoa, Chordata, Chondrichthyes, Myliobatiformes, Dasyatidae.
GAAACAGAGGGAGUGAGAGAGGGGACAUCAACACAACGUGAAGAAGAGAGUGAGACUGAGCGUUAUGGCAAAGGGGGAGUCUGUUAGUCAACGUACAGAAAAGGAGAGAACGGCCAUCAACAUUUUGAGGGAGGGAGAGAGCGCAGUGCGAAUCGCAGCGUGAGAUGGGAGGGAACAGCCAUCAACACGAGGGGCAAGCAGACCAUGCAAAAGAGAGAACGGGAGGACCUCCUUACUGUUGUGCCUCUUUACAAAGUUUGUUGCACAGUUUCAACGCAGAUGCUCUAUGCUGGCUCAGUGCAAGCGCUCAAUUUGGAGAUGGGAAAGAGUGCUGGCUGCUGGAAAAUGCUGGGCCCUUGACUUUCUCAUUGGGAGACCACAGACAGCAGGAUCAGUGAAAACUUCUCCUCACUGACAAUCAACACAAGCACACCUCAAGGAUGCAUGCUUGGUCCACUGCUCUACUCUCUCUGCACUCAUGAUUGUGUGGCUAGGAACAGCUCAAAUGCCAUUUAUUGAUUCACAGCAUUAUUAUUGAUAAAGUUUCAGAUGGCGAUGAGGAGGUGUACGGGAGUGAGGAACAUUGGGUAGAUGAGUAGUGUCACAAAAAUAACCUCACGUUUAGCAUCUGUACAACCGAGCAAUUGAUUGUGGACUUCAGGAAGGGGAAGUCAGGAAAACGCUCACCAGUCCUCGUCGACGGGUCAGCGGUAGAAAGGCUGAGGAGCUUCAGGUUCCCGAGUGUCAGGAUUUCAAAGGAUCUGUCCUGGGCCCAACACAUAGAUGCAAUCAUGGAGAAGGUGUGCCAGUGGCUAUGCUUCAUCAGGAGUUUAAGGAGAUCUGUUCUGUCACCAAAGACACUUGCACAUUUCUACAGGUGUCUAGUGCAGAAUAUUCUGAAUGGUUGUGUCUGCGACUGGAAUGGAGGCCCCAAAUCAAAGGUUUAAAAGAUGCUCCAGAGGGCUGUUGGCUCUGCCAGCUUUAUCACAGGCACAAACGUCUCCACUGUGGAAGACGUCCUCAAGAGACAUUGCCUCAAGAAGAUAGUGUCCAUCAUGAAGGAACCCUACCAUUUGGGACAUGUCCUCAUGACUACCACCAAAGAGAAGAUACAGGAACCUGAAGACAGGUUUAGAAACAGCUUCUUCCCCUCUGCCAUCCGAUAUCUGAAUGGUCCAUGAAUCAUCUGAAUCACAGUCAGGGGCUUCAACCAAGCUUGUUUGAAGAAAUUCCACUCAAUUACCAUCAGCAUAUAACCUGUAGCAUAGCAUCAGAGGUCGCAACAUAUAGACCACUGUUUCAAUAAGAUAAGUAAUGAUUACCCAUCCAUGCCCCAAACCACAUUUUGGUAAAUCAGAUCACUAGGCUGUCUUUCUCCGACCUGCAUACAAGCAGAGGCUAAAGAGCUCCAGAGAUUCGGACAAAAACAAGGCGGUUGCAGGAAGCAGAGGAAUGGCUACAGGAUUGCUUCAAGUCAGUGCACCGGGCCAUGUUAAAGGAUUCAUCUGUGGUCCUGAAUGGCAUGGACAUUAUAAAAAAAACAAUCGGAGAUGAGUGUGUCUGCACAAAAUUAUUCAGUCUUCCCCAGUCAGAAGCCUUGAAUGAACCAUGAGAUCAGUAAUCUGCUGAUGGCCAAAUCAGAGGCAUUCUAGUCUGAUGACCAAGAAAAUUACAAGAGGUCCAGGUACGAUCACUGGAAAACCACCUCAUGGGUGAAGUGCCAAUUCUGGACUAAACUUGAAUCAAUGAAGGAUACUUGACAGUUGUGGCAGGGCUUGAAUACUGUCACCUCUUCUAAGUGAAAUCAAGUGACAAAGGUGACAUCAGUGCUUCACGUCCUGAUGAGCUGAAUGCCUUUCGUGUUCACUUUGUCCGUCAAAACAUGGAGGAACCAUCAGGAAUGUCCACAUUUCCCAGUGAUUCUGGGACUUUAGUUUCUGAGGCCGAUGUGCAAGCAGCCUUGAGAAUGGUGAAUCCAUGAAAAGUAUCCGGCCCAUACGGAGUACCUGACCAAGUAAUAAAGACCUGUGCUGAUCUAUUGGCUGCAGUGUUACUGAGAUCUUUAACCUCUCGUUUUGAUAGUUCGUGCUACCUGCUUCAGGCAAGCUUCAUUUAUACCGGUGCCCAAGAGGAGCAUGGUGGCCUGUCUCAAUGAUUAUCACCCUGUAGCACUUAAAUCCAGAGUGAUGAAGUGUUUUGAGAGUGUUGUAAUGAAACAUUCCAAAUCCUGCAAAGAAACGACUUAACUCCAAUUUGCCUACCAGAGCAUCAGGAUCACAGCAUAUGCCAUCUCAUUGGCUCUUUAUUUAACCCUGGAACAUCUGAACAGCAAAGAUCUAUACACCAAGAUGCUCUUUAUUGACUACAGCUCAGCAUUCAAUACCAUCAUCCCCUUGAAACUAAUCGAUAAGCUCCAAGACUUUGGCCUCAGUACCUCCUUAUGCAAUUGGAUCCUUGAUUCCCUCACUUGCAGACCCCAGUCAGUUCAGAUUUGCCACAGUAUCUUCUCCAUGAUCUCCAUCAGCACAGAUGCACCACAAAACAGUGUGCUUAGUCCACUGCUCUACCCGCUCUACACUUAUGACUGUCUAAAGCACAGCUGCAAUGCCAUAUUCAAGUCUGCGGACUGUCACAGCCAGAAUUAAAGGUGGUGAUGAAUCAGCAUAUAGGAGGGAGAUUGAAAAUCUGGUAGAGUGGUACUGUAACAAUAACCUGUUACUCAAAGGCAGCAAGACCAAGGAGCUGAUUAUUGACUUCAGGAGAAGGAAACCGGAGGUCCAUGAGCCAGUCCUCAUUGGAGGAUGAGAGGUGAAGAGGGUCAGCAGUUUCGAAUUCCAUCAGGAAGAAGGUACAGGAGACUCAGGACCCAUACCACCAGGUUCAGGAACAGUCAUUACCCCUCACAGCCAUCAGGCACUUGAUCCAAAAGGGAUAACUUCAUUCAAAUUCAUUUGCCCAUCACUGAAAAGUUCCCACAACCCAUGGAAUCUUUUAAGGACUCUUCGUGUCACAUUCUUGACAUUUAUUGCUUAUUUAUUUAUUACUAUUUCUUUCUUUUUGUAUUUGCCUGCUUAUUGUCUUCUUCACUCUGGUUGAAUGUCCAAGCUGGGGUGGCAUUUCAUUAAUUCUGUUAUGGCUAUAAUUCUAUAGAUUUAUUGAAUAUGCCCACAAGAAAAUGAAUCUCAGGGUUGUAUAUGGUGACAUAUAUGUACUUUGUA